Molecule: non-coding RNA, 4245 nt
Organism: Nomia melanderi (Alkali bee)
Lineage: Eukaryota; Metazoa; Arthropoda; Insecta; Hymenoptera; Halictidae
Source: RefSeq, a predicted model, not a curated record
CUGCUCAUUCCCGGACAUAUUUUUGCGAAUAUCUGGAGAACCAAGGUGACGAAACCCGUCAACGGCACGUUUUAUCGCUGUCGCAUCGAAUUCAUGCAAGGAUAUGCAGCACAUUGAAAUUCUACGAGUGACCUGAACAGGGAACGAAGGGAGCGAGGUAAGAAAGAGACAACGAAAUAAGAAGAAAGAGGAAAAAUCUUGGGAUCUCUCGGCUGUAAAAGAUCCAGAUACAUAGUCUUCGAAAUCGAUACGCUGUGAAUGCUUUGUUGCUAGAUCGUUCUCAAAAGUUUUCUAUUCGAAUACCAUCGUUUUUGUGAAUCUUCGAUUUCAUAAAUAGUUUCUGCAAGUGCAAUGUAUACGCGAUUGAAGAGAUGCAGCCGAUUCCAGUGUAGAAAGAAUGUGUGUACGCAAUUUCACUGUGGUAGCUUUAUGGAAUGCAGGAUUGUAUCGCACGAAUGUCAACCAAAACCUUUCCGAGACAUACCAGGACCCAAAUCUUUACCUAUUAUUGGAACACUGUACAAAUAUUUACCGAUAAUUGGCGAGUACAAUUUUACUAAACUAUAUGGUAGCGGAGUCAAGAAAUUAAAACGAUUUGGGCCGUUAGUCCGUGAAGAAAUCGUACCCAACGUAAAUGUUGUAUGGGUUUAUCGACCAGAAGAUAUAGCUGAGAUUUUCAGAGCAGAAUCCGGUUUACAUCCAGAAAGGAGAAGUCACUUAGCUCUUUUAAAAUACAGAAAAGAUCGAGCAGAUGUGUACAGUACAGGAGGCCUGUUACCCACGAAUGGACCAGAAUGGUGGAGAUUACGAAAAGAAUUUCAAAAAGUUACAAGCAAACCUCAAAAUAUAAUAAAUUACAUAGAGGAAACAGAUCAUGUUGUCCAAGAAUUUGUUGCAUUAUGUAACAGAGAAAAAUUUGAAGACCUAUUACCAAUUUUAUCACGUUUAUUUCUUGAAUUGACAUGUUUAGUUGUCUUUGAUGUAAAGCUGAACAGUUUCUCAGAAGAAGAAAGACAUAAAUAUUCAAGGAGUUCUAAAUUGAUUGAAGCUGCUGUCACGACAAACAAUGCAAUUUUAAAGCUGGAUAAUGGUCUACAAUUAUGGAAGUUUUUCGAAACACCUUUAUAUCGGAAAUUGCGUAAAGCACAGUCAUAUAUGGAAUCAGUUGCAUUAGAACUUGUAUCCCAAAAAAAGGAUAAGGAUGCUCGGCGAAACAAAUCAUUUCUAAGUGCUUAUUUUGAAAAUUCUGCUUUGGAUAUCAAGGACAUUGUGGGCAUGGCUUGUGACAUGCUACUUGCUGGUGUAGAUACUACCACCUACAGCACUGCAUUUAUCUUGUAUCAUCUUGCAAAGAAUCAAGAUAUUCAGCAGAAAUUGAGAGCCGAAGCUAUAGAAUUACUACCUCAACCUAAUCAACCGAUAACAGCAGAUGUUCUACGCAGUGCAUCAUAUACGAAAGCUGUUAUAAAAGAAGGUUUAAGAUUAAAUCCUAUUUCUGUUGGAAUAGGCCGCAUCUUACAAACUGAUAUCGUUCUUAGUGGUUAUCGAGUACCUAAAGGAAGUGUGGUUGUGACACAAAAUCAGAUUAUUUGUAGACUUCCUGAAUAUUUUUAUAAUCCAAACUCAUUUAUACCAGAAAGAUGGCUUCGUGAAAACUCAGAAAGUAAAAUAAGUUGUGGAAAACCUAUACACCCAUACAUAUUGCUACCAUUUGGUCAUGGUCCUCGCUCUUGCAUAGCUAGGCGUUUUGCUGAACAAAACAUGCAAGUACUGCUAUUAAGAGUAAGUAUCUAUUCUCUUUUAAAAUAAAUUAUGAUUAUGAAUUCUGUAUGCAGUACUAUAUAUAUUAUAAUAUAUUAUAAAGUUAGCAGCAAGUAAACUGUAAUUUAAGAGACAUGUUACUUAUAACGAAUUUGAAACAUUUAAACAAUGAUAUCUACAGUUAUCUAUAGUUAUAGUAUCUAUAGUAUGUUAUCCAAAAAGAAAAAUACGCUACCAAAUGAGGAGGGUACACUCCAAAACGAAUAGUUCUUAAUUUUCGUAGUGGUUGAGUCGUAUAGUGUAUUACAUGUAGAAGUCCAAUCAGAAGGUACAUUUGACAAACCUCCCCAGUCAUAAAUGGACCAGUCGCUGUCUUCUUUAAAUUGCUGCAUAUAGCGCAUGGUCUUUGCCAUUACAACCAGUGUUCCAUCAAUCCUACUGGCGUAGGUAGCUUCGAAUUGUAAUUUCUUUGAAUCAUGCUGUGGGACAUUUGGUUCAAAUUGGGUAGUCGUUACAGCCUGAACUAACGAGCCUUCUUCUCCAUCCGGGAGAGGCUCAAGCUUUACCUUGCUCCCGUUCAAUAUCAUCUGUAUGCCGCUCAUCAAUCCAGAAAUGAACGGUAUCGCAGGAUAAGCAUUUAGAUCAUCGUUAUCAUCUGACACUCCACAACGUGAUAACCAUUCUGCUUGGUGCGUAGUUAAUUUUCUGGCUUCACGAUAUCCGAGAAGACUCCGCGUAGGCAUGCCUCUUUUGAUGUCAUUGGGAACCAUGUCGUCGGGCAGGUCCCACGCAGAACUCAACUCCUCAUUAUUUGUGUAUUGGAGAUCAAAUUGUAUUCUACGCAGAUAAACUGCUAAGCAUGGGUAGGCUGCAUACAAAUAAUGUGUGUUAGGUCCUACUUGACCGAACCAGCCAACGCUGCCGUCCGCUGUCGACUUCAGGUAUUGACGACGUUUUGCACGUAUUCGCAUUUCUUGCCCUGUCUCUAAUGUUGUGUUGCCAAACCCUUUUAAAUAUAAAGAUAUUAUGGUUGGAGGCUGAAAACGUCUGCAAUAAACUUUUCGUAUGAAAUCUGUUUCUUCAUGUGUAAUUGGUUCGCCUGAUAUAUAAAGUGUUUUAAGCAGGCGGGCAUAAGCCAAGACAGCCACAUAAUAAACAAACGCGGAUUCCGGAACCAUCUGUGCAAAACUCGUUUGUCCUGCAAGCAUUUCAUAUGUCGAUUCGGUUAUGUCUGGCAAGGCGUAAAAACCUGGAAAGUGCACUAAUUCCGGAGGAAUUGGCAUAACACAUUUCGUGUCAGGCAAAAGCGGCAGUGCAUCUAUAUACAAUGGAUCAUCUUCAGGCUCUCGGUGUAUAUUCUUGUGUUCAGACAUGAAGAAUAGAAGUAUUCUUCCCUUUUCAAGUAUCCCUAUUCAAAAAAAAUAAAGUGGGAUAAAUGGUAAUAUAACUAUAGUUAUAUAAUAUAAUAUAUAAUAUAUCAAUGUUUAAUAAAUUAUGUAUGUAUAAUUAAAAAUUUGUUUAAAUAUUUUUUUAUGUUGUCUUAAAUAUGAGAAUUUUAUUGAAUAGUAUUUAACAAAUAAAAUAAUACUAUUUAUCGUUAUACUAUUAAGAUAAGUUAUUAAACUAAAAUUAAAUUCUUUUAUCACACAUAGAACAAUAAGUAGUGAAAGAUCUGUCUACUUAUUUUCAGUGAUAGAAAAAUGCAUUCAACUGGUUUCAUUUACAAGAGACUUAAUCUGAUGUCAGUAGUUUUUUCUGAGCAGAAACGUAGAUCAACUUCGUUUUUAUAAAUGGAAUAAUAUGUUUUCUUUAAUUACUUUAUAAUAGAGCGUUUUAAAAUGCAUGCAGUGACCUAUAGUUAAAUGUUAUUCAAAAAUAGUUGGAGGCCAACUACAGUGAGAAAUAAUAAUUUAUUUCAAGGAACUAUUUGAAUAUUUUCGCACACUUUAUGGUUGUAAACUGGAAAAAAAUAUUUAAUUCUCCUUCAUACCUUUUUAUAGUCAUAAAUAUUAUAUUACUUCGCAAUAUGUUAUCAACCAAAGAAUGACUCAAAUUUCUGAUCCCAAUACUUUAAAAUGUCUUAGUCAGAGAUAGAGAAAGUUUAUUUUGUACUCAUAACAGUUAUCAUUAAAUUAUGAAAGAAGUACCUAUAUUUCUAUGAAAAUUAGACACAAUUGAUCUAAAUGAAAUUCUAUAUUAUUUAUAUCAGAAUAAAAUGGAAUAGAACGUCACAACCAUUUUAAAUACUUGUAUUAGCAGUGCAUGUAUAAACAAAUAAAUAAACAAAGUUGACUACUGAACCACUUCAUUGUAUAUGUUGAAGUGCUCUAUAUGAAGAUAUGCAGCCAACUUCAAUUUUCCUGGCAUGGUGAUGAACUUGGAAUGAUAUCUUUGUUAAUAAACAAACCUGAUGGCCCAAUGAAACUUCAAUUUUGUAAUAUAUUAAACACAGAUUCUAAUACUACUUGAAACAGUAAAAAGAAA